This 318-nucleotide long non-coding RNA is filed under the name Aquilegia coerulea. Its description in RNAcentral is "long non-coding RNA (ACOE_LNC001530)". Lineage: Eukaryota; Viridiplantae; Streptophyta; Magnoliopsida; Ranunculales; Ranunculaceae. The record is from RNAcentral.
UCAAGAGGUAUCAAGAGUUUCAUUGAUGAGAUAAUCGUCAUCUGCAAUACAAAAACAAAAUUGAAAAUGAAGAUAAUCGUCAUCUGCAAUACGAAAACGAAAUUGAAAAUGAUCAUAACAUUACAACAAUAAUAAAGAACCUUUGGCUUGGUAAGAAAUUUUUAUGAAGUCGCUUAUUGCUUAUGGAGUUUGUGCCUCUGCUUCAAAAUACCCUGGGAGCGACACCGCUUAUGUACUAAGCCAAACAAUCACAAGCACCUUUCUGAGUAGAAAAUUACAGGCUCCUGGCCAUUCUGCUGAGAAAGGUUUGGCUCUUGU